GUCACUGGAAGGAGCAAUUGUGGUGGGGAGGGGUCGGCUGCCAGAGAGACCUCCCAAAGAUCAAUCAGUAAGGUGGAUGAGGAGUGACUGGAGCUGGCAGUGUGCAGGCAUGAUGUCUUGCUGGCUGCCCUUAAUAUGUUUGUACAUGCUAAAGCGCAUGACUUCAAAUGUGAGGUUAGUAUAAUACAGUACAUUUUAUCAAAUGACUUGCAAUCCUAUGAAUGAUGCAUAUAAAUGUGUAAUGUUUAACUAUCACUUAACAGAUUAUUUAACAUUUGUAUUGUUAUAGUUGUUGAUGUGAACACCCCUUAAUUGACACAUGUACUUUUGUCAAGGAUAUUAUUUUGCACCUGUAUGUUUGUUGGUAAGCAAGAUUACUCAUGAGGUUUACCACUAAUGUACACACAACUUGGUGGAAGGGUGACAGUUUGAUUUUUGAUUAGGUUUUAAUUGAAAUAAAAGUGACUGUUGGGCAUUGCUUGAGGUCUCUGCUGUACUAAAUUCCCUUGAUGUUUAUGUUUGGGUCCCUCUCUCCAGGUGAAAUGGAGUGGCACAAACCAAGAAGGUGCUGGUAAAACACUAGGGGAGGAAGUAGAGCAAUGUAAAGCUUCCCUCUCCAGGAUAUCAGUCACCACAAAGCAUAUGUCAGAAGCAGGUGCUGUAUAAUUGUACCUCUGUAUACAGAAUAAAAGACAUUUAUAUUAUUACAAGUGAAUCUUUACAGAACUCAUCUCUGUGUACUUGCAGGACGCAAUGACAUGCUGACACUCCUGGCCAUAAGAUGGAACCAGCAGAAAUGUCCAAACCUGGCUACUGGACUUUCCCAGAGAUACCAUAAGACCGCAACAAAGGCCGACAUAGAAUUCGCAGAAAAAUAAGGCAACAGAAGACCACUUUGAAGGCCAUGGUAGCGGAGUACAACAGUCUCGUUGCAUGGAUAGCGUUCUGGACACAGAAUAUUCCUGGCCUUGGCAAAUUACACAGAGUGGAAUGCAUUUCAUGUACUGCUCUGCUGAUUUCAGCACAAAGAAAGAAGUCUUCGAUAGGGUCAUGGGUGUUCGAAGGCUUCAAGAGGAGAAGAAGAUCCUUGUGAAAGAAAUGAAGCAGCACUGGGAGUCUCUCAAAGCCCAUGCCAGGGUCUUGUCCGAGUUGUCUCAGCAUCAGAGUGAAGACGCCAUGCAAAGACAUCUCACAGAGAAAGCAACAAAGGGUCACACCUGCCUCAUCCUCAGAAGGCAGUGGGAAAUGAGAGAGCUGAAGCGGCAUACAAGAAAACACUACCUGCAUGUGCUGUCAUCAGCAGAUGACAUAAUGGACACAAUGGACAGUUCAGAUGAGUUCGACAUUAGCUGUGAAGAUUCAGAGUCUGAUGCAAUGUAAAACAGGAAGAUGUGGUGCUCAUGAUCACAGUGCACCGUGUGCGACACAUGGUCACACAGAGCAUGUGGCUUUAAAAAAGCCACAUGCUCUUAAAAACUAACGUAUGUGCUCAUUGUCAGGAUUAAGUUGGAGAUGACAGUUGUAGUUGUAUUAGGUUGUUGUUAUUUCUGCAUUUGGUUUUGAAAUGUUUAAUCACUUAUAUAAGGUUUGAUUUUUCUACUGGGUUGUGGGAAGUUCCUGGUUAAUGUUGUCUUACAUCUUUACAACACAAACCACUGUCCUUUACUGUCUUAUCUUUGAUUCACGUUCAGUUCUGCAUCUUUUCAGGGAUUUUCUUUCCAGUUGAUCUUUACUGUUUGAUUAAUAAUUGUUCUUUAAUGUUUAAUUAAACAAAGGCACAAUAAAGCUACAUUUCUGAUUGAGUCCUUGGAUGUUACUACUGUUUUAGGUUAGACUUAUUUUAUCUGAGCAAUUCCCACAUGCUUUCAGAGUACAUGAAUUCACUAUAUGGCAAGAGGAGAGAUUCAGAGG
This 1911-nucleotide long non-coding RNA is filed under the name Dicentrarchus labrax (European seabass). Its description in RNAcentral is "lncRNA (ENSDLAG00005029979.1)". The record is from RNAcentral. Lineage: Eukaryota; Metazoa; Chordata; Actinopteri; Moronidae.